ACUGCAGUACUUAUCCCGCAUUUCCCAUGGGGCACAAGGCUAUCAACUGUGAGCAGGCCUAUAGGUUGAGGUUGAUCUGAAAGAUAGGACUAUUUGUGAUCCAGAAUCAAAAGAGUCAAGAAAAGUCUGAGAAUUUCAUCCUUGGAGCAGAAAGUGAAAGUGUUCUGGAGCCAAAAGUAGUAACAAAGAUGGAGGGCAAGAGAUCAUUGGAUUAAAUCAUAUUGGCAGACCAAAUUUCAGAAGAAUCAACACACCAGAGACAAGAAGAACUUGAAGUUAAAGCAAAGUUCCCUUAUACUGGAGAAUUCUUCUGCAUUCUCUGCUCAAAUAUGAUGCCCCCCACCAUGAAGAAGAGAUUCACCUUGGAUAUAACCACAAUUUACCCCCCUCAACAGAUCCCAGGAGGCUGCUGCUUACCUACUAGGGAGCCCACCUGCCUCGCUUUCUGCUUCCCCAGUCCUAUCCAUCUUGCUCCAUAUGAACUUUCCCAGGCCCAAGCUGCAGAUAUGAGAAUGAUAGCUACUCAUCAAACCUUUUUCCUUGUCUUGUUGAGCACACAGCUGGACCCCAUUUCAAAGCCUCUGUUGAGGUUAGAUAUGGUCAUGUGCCUGAGUCCUAGCCAAUAGAAUGUAACUGGGAACUGUUGUGUGUCUCUUUGAAAUCUGGCUGAUGAAUACCCACCCCCAUGCUACCCUCCAUGUUGUUUCCCUUUGUACUGACUUGAUGCAAUUGAGCCCAGGAAGCUUCAAAGCUAUAUGCUGAGGAUGGAUUUGAUAUCACAGAGGAAGCCUGGGUCCCUACAUCACUGCUUUGAGAACUGCUGCCCACCUUUUGGACCACCCAUUUUGGACUUAACAUGAGCAAGAAAUAAACUUUUCUGUUUGAACCAUUAUAUAUGUUUGGAUUUGUAUGUUGCAGCAGCUACAAUUACCUUAACCAAUAUGGACCCCCUGAGAAAAGUUGUUGGACCAAUAUGCAUUUAAGCUCAGGUUUCAAUUUUUCACACAUGAAAAAUUAUAAAUACAUAUAACUUUGAGCUUCUUUAGGAAAGAACGAAUACCCUAACUGGCUUGGUAUUCUCCCAGUAAAUAGUUCUUGAAAGGGUAUUUCAUAUAGUAGAAAUUCAAUGACUGCCUGUUCAAAAUGUUUAAAUGUUCAAGUCUUAAGAAAAAAAUGUCAACUACGAGAAGAUUAAGGAUUCAUUUACAUAGUGAGAGCUAAAUGAAGUCUUACUGAAUAAAUAAAUGAAUGAGUGAAUAAAUGGUAUAUUUGAUGAAAAUAAGUCUCACCUUAAGAUUCACAGAGAAAUUUGCUUAUCUGUAAGAUAAGGAUUGUGAUACCUUGCGCUUUCUACCUCACACGAAAUGUGUUAGUAUCAAAUCAGAGAAUUUACUUUCAAGCAUUUACUUUCUAAAUUACCAAGUGCUAGACACAUGUGAGUUCUCCAGUAUAAUUUAGAUAGAUUACUUUAUGUUUUGUCAGUAUGUUGACAGUUUAUUGAUAAUGGAGUUGAAACUCAAGGAAGGAGAAUAAUCUGUGAAGCACUUCUGAACAUCUUGGAGAUUUUUUUAAAAGUUAUAUUGGUGACCUGAAGAUUUUAGACCUCUUAAAAUUCUGAAUUACUAUUAACUUGCAGAUAAAAUAAUGCCAUUAUUUACCACUGGACUCAAGAGAACAUCUUUGUGUAUUAUUGGUACCCUGAAAUUAUAACUAAUCAUAUCCCCUCUGUAUCUCCCUAAGAUGUAUCUGCCACUUCUUAGGUUCCUACUUAGUGAUUAGAGUCAGAAAAGCAUUAAUCAACACUGCUGUGCCAAAUACUAUGGAAAUUCAUUUAACCAUAUUACAUAAUUGAAAUGUCAGAAUGUUUAAACACUUUCUGUCAUAUGAAAAUAUAUUGGAAAUGUCUAGAACCAAGCUGGCAGAGAAAAACACAAGGAAUGUUCUUAUAAAACAAAUGAGAUCUAGCUGGGCAUGGUGGCAUGUGCCUGUAGUUCCAGCUGCUCAGGAGGCUGAGGUGGGAGGACUGCUUGAGCCCAGGAGUUUGAGGCCAGCCUGGACAACAUAAUGAGAUCUCCAUCACUAAAAAUAAAUUUUAAAAUAAUGGAUAAGAAAGAUUUAAUGAUCCAUGGAAUGGUUGUUUGUGGGCUUUUGGUCAGAAGCCUGAGAGUGGGGAUUAGACAAAAGUGGCUGUCCAAUGUGUCAGUGGUGAUGCCAAUCUCUUGCCAGCUGAAAUUGAGAAGUAUAUGCAGCAGGCUUCAAUGACUGCCCUCACUGCUGAAAAGAAUAUAUCUUGUAUUGCCUGGGCAGGUGACCUUCACCAGGGGUUAAGAGAAUUCCUGUGAGUUCAUUGUGAGACUACCUCUCUUUCAUUUCCCAGUCCUUCAUCAGAAAAUUCAAGAGGCUCCUAUCACAUCCUAGAAUAAAGAUUUCCUUUAUGCAGGCUCCAUCCUCCAUCAGUAGGAGUCAAGUGGUAGCCCCAAAUUCUGCAUAUUUCUCUCACUCCUUUCAAACUGUCCAAUACUUACUAGCACUUUCUUCUUUGGAACAUCAUGUCCUAUAUUUCUGUCAUUUCAGUCACAAGAAGUGUAGGGCCCUAGAUCGUCCCCUAUCCCUUGGCCUUUAAUCUCCUUAUGGCUCCAAAAAUUGCCUUUUCUGCCACCAUCUCCCUUCUGCCCCAUCUCCUGAAAGAACUGGAACUUUCUGUCAAGCAUCUAUCAAUUAUCAACCAAAUUCCCUACAUCCCCUCACAUUUCCUUAUUUUAUUUGCUGGAACUAAAACUCACCUCUCCUCAAAGGACCCUGCUUGCCUUGCAGCCUCCUCAAGGGGUGGCUGUUUUCUCUCCCAGACCCCUCAAAGCACUGAGUCUGGAUGUGGGGUAGUGUCCUCCUCCCUCCUCAUUGCUUCUUCCAGAUCAUUAUUCCUCAUUUCUCCCUAAGACUACACAGUUUGAAUGACUUCAAUAUUGCCAAACCUCAAAGUGUAUUUGAGUCUUCAUUUUACUUGAUAGAUCAGCAGCAUUUUACACAGUUGAUCACUCUCUUUCUGCUGAGACAGUUUCUUCACUUGACUUCCAGGACACCACACUCUCCGGCUUGCUUCCUGCUUCACUAGUUGCUCCUUCUCUGUUCCUUUGCUACUUCCUUCUCAUCCCACUUAUCUCUAAGUGAGAGCCCCUGCACUUAAUCUUUGAACCUUGCCUCUUCUCUGGAUACACUUGCUGCCUUAACAAUCUCAUUUAAUCUCAUGAUUUUCUAUGCUUUCUAUAUGUUGAUGACUCUACAAGUUAUAGCUUUAUUCCAGAACUUUCUCCUGAACUUGAGAUGUAUGUAUCCAAGGGCUCACCUGACAUCUUCAUCUGGAUAUUAAUAGGUAUUUCAAAAUUAACACAUGAAAAACUGAGCUCCUGAUUUUUUCUUCAGAUCUUCUUCUCUUGAAGCCCCUCCAACCCACACCAAUCUCAGCAAAUGACAAUCCCAAUCUUUCAGUCAUUCAGGCCAAAAACUUUGAAGGCAUCCUUGACUCCUUUCUUUCUCUCACACUGCACAUCAAAUUUAUCAGAAAACCCUAAUGGAUCCUCUUUCAAAAUAUAUGUAUGGUAUCUGACCAGUUCUUACUGGCUUUACAACUACAACCCUGGCAACUGUUAUCUGUUACUUGGAUUGCUGCAAUAACUUCCUAACUGAUCCUUCUACUUCUGUCCUUGCCUCCUUCAUUUCUAUUCUAAAAAAAAGCAGCCAAAGUAAUUCUGUUAAACAUAAGCAGAAUAUAUCACUCGUUUGAUUAUAACCCUACAAUGGCUUCCUAGCUCACACUGUGUAAAAGUUAAAGUCCUACAAUAACCCUUCAAAGUUUUUGGCUAAGUAUGUAAGAUAUCUAGUGUGAUAGCAUUAAGUGCUGAGGUGGAAAAUUAAAGCAGGGAAUGGAAAUAGAGAGCAUCAAAGAUAGAGUGAUGAUUGCAUUUUAAAUAGACUUGAAGGAGAUAAUAGAGUAUGCCAUACAGAUAUUUAGGGAAAUAAUAUUCUAUGCAGAGAAAAGAGCAGGUGCAAAGGCCCUAAGGCAGAAGCAUGCUGGAAUAUACAAAGAACAGCAAGAAAGCUUUGCGCACUGGAGUGGCAGGAGAUGAGGUGAGACAGGCCUAUUGAUAAUGUCUCUUUCACUAAAAUAUAACAUGCAUGUGGAUAGAAAUGUUUGGCCUAUUUUAUCUACUGUUUUAUAACUAGAACUCAACUCUCAGCUAGCAUUCUACUCACACUGACCAUGUGUUCUGAGUUACAGUGGCAUUUUAUGUUACAGAAUCUUUUUUUGAGACCGGGUCUGGCCCUGUUGCCCAGGCUGAAGUGCAGUGGCGUGAUCUUGGCUCACUGCAACCUCUGCCUCCCAGGCUCAAGCCAUCCUCCCACCUCAGCCUCCCGAGUAGCUGGGACUACGCGCACACCACCAUGCCUGGCUAGUUUUUAUAUUAUUUGUAGAGACAGGGUUUCGCCAUGUUGGCUAGGCUGGUCUUAAACUUCUGAGCUCAAGUGAUCCACCUGCCUUGGCCUCUCAGAGUGCUGGGAUUAUGGGGUGUGAACCACCACACCCAGCCUAUGUUACAUAAUUUCGGUUUUUAGUGUCCAUAAUUACGGUCUGAAAUAGGUCAAGGGGACCCCAUGAUGGUCCUGGGAGAUGAGCAUUGAGACUACAAUGAUAGAAUGGAUCAGACCAUGCUUGAAGGACCUCAGAAGGUCUAGUCAAACUGUCAACUAACCCUCAUAGUUUGCAGAGCUGCUGGGAGACAAAAUCAUGUCCAGAACUCUGGAGCCACAGGAUUCCUUUGGGUCCCCAGAACUUCUUUGGAAAAGAUUAUAAUGGCUUUAACAUCAUUAACGUUUAUUGGGUUUUUACAAUGUAACAGGCAUGGUUCUAUGCACUUUACACAACUAAUUCAUUGAAUUCUCUCAACAACCUAAUGAGGUCAGAACUAUUAUCCUCAUUUUUGAUGUGAGAAAACUGAAGUACAGAGAGGUUAUGUGGCUUCCAAAGUCACAUAGUUUAAAAGUGGCAGAGACUGGAUUCAAAUGUAAACAAUAACCACUGCCGGGGUACCAUGGGAAGUUGUGGUCCAGACACUAAAUCAAGCUGCACCCAAGGUGUCCUAAUCCUACUCCUUCUUUCUCCACUGGAUGAGAGAAAAGGAGCAGGACCUAAGCCUCCUGAUUUUGUGGGAAUUUGCUUUUCUGUUCCAUGUUUCUCCCUCCGCUGCCCUUCUAUGCAUUGAAAUGAUGGGCAGGGGAACAUUUUCCGCCUCUGGAGGCAGGCGAGCAAAGACUCGAUGCACUUCCCCACCUCUUGCACUGGCUCAUACUUUAAUGGCUGGAAGUUUAAAAUCACAUCCCAAGCUUCUUGGAACUCAAAAUUCAGUUAUCUGACUCAGUAAAAUGUAGCUUUCUCACUUAAAAGGAUUUGCCCAAGGGGCCUCUGGGAUUUCAAAUAUACUUAAAAGCAACAACUGUGUUGAAUCAUAGAAUCAUAAGGGAUUGCAUUUCCGCUGGAGAACAGACAGGAUGUUUUAAACAGAGGGGGAAAUGUUUGAAGUUCGCCAAGCUUUGAGUUUCAUCCCACCCACCACAUCUGAAAACUAUCUGAGUCAUUUGAUGAAGGCAAAAUACAGCUGGGCUCCCUUAUUCUUAGUGUUAUUGUGGCCUACCAUCUUGACAUUGUGAUGCUAUCUGUGCAAGAACAUUUCACCUACAUCUACCAACCCUUUUCUAAACUGGAAUCAGGAAGAGUCUGUUCUCCAAAGUCUAUCUGGAGUGGAGUGGGCUGAGGGUGGUGUGGAGUAAAUAUUCUUAUAGACAGAAGGCAAAUACAGCUCUAGACAAAACAGUGAAGAGAAACAGGUUUGUCCAUGGCCCUGAGCUGCUGUCAAGGAGGUUACAGGGCCUUUAUCUCUUUCAUGGUGCUGCAGUAUUGUGUAGUGUGUUUAUGAACGUAGAUUUGGGAGUCAAAAAGAUACACGUUUAAUCUUGACCCUACCCACUUAUUUACUCACUGUGAAUCCUUGGGCAGAUUACUUAACCUUUCUAAUU
Molecule: long non-coding RNA, 6069 nt
Filed under: Homo sapiens (human)
Lineage: Eukaryota; Metazoa; Chordata; Mammalia; Primates; Hominidae
Description: HSALNT0281919
Source: RNAcentral